RNAcentral lists this small nuclear RNA (93 nucleotides) under Phascolarctos cinereus (koala). Lineage: Eukaryota; Metazoa; Chordata; Mammalia; Diprotodontia; Phascolarctidae. The record is from RNAcentral.
UUACUUCAGUAGUACAUGUACUAAACUUGGAAUGAAGCAGAGAUGAGCAUGUCUUCUGCACAAGGAUGAAUCCAUGAAGUGCAGAAGAGCUGA